UUGGUAUUGGUUUUGCCCUUCGAUAGAAACACACCGAAGUGUAUCCCUAGGGAAGUUAUAUGGCGGCUUUAUUUCAGGGUGCCUUCGUACAUGAGUAUUCUCAGAGGUACUCCAGCGGGUUAAAAUAUACGAAAGCAACAGGAUGUAUGCACUGGACAACCGAGUACUCCCUAGGGAGUAAGUCCGACGGACUGAAGCCAGGCAUCCACCACAGUUGGUAGUUCCACGGGUCAACAUCGAUGCAGCCGAAGCCGACAUCUUUGUUUUGUUUUGGGUGUGGUAAUGAUCCUUCCGCAGGUUCACCUACGGAAA
Molecule: unclassified non-coding RNA, 312 nt
Filed under: uncultured fungus
Lineage: Eukaryota; Fungi
Description: sequence contains ITS1
Source: RNAcentral